CGUAGAGCUGCGCUUAAAUUUUUCAUUACCGCAUAUCGUAAACGGCGGUGGUGUCUUUGAUAGCGAAAACCAAAAUUAGGAACAUGAAAUUGUGACCGCCCUGUCUCUUUCUCGGUGGCAGCGCACCACGUCGAAGUGGUUGUUACGCUACACGCAGCCUGACUGCGACCCUGGCGCUGAAACGACUAGCCGCGGAUGUUUUCUUUUUUUUUUUCGUAAUUUUUGGGUUUCUUUCUUUACGAGAAAGAUUAUUUGGAGCAUAAGUAGGAAUAUAGAUACACCUGAAUCAGAUGCAUCUUAACAAACUCCCCAAUUUCGCGUGGGGAAGAUUUGAGAAGCUUAACUUAACCAACUACCUUGUUUCUUGCGUCACCGAUCGUGUACGCAAACUCAAUGCUACAGUCGGUUGCAUUUCGAGCUGCAGUUUCACAGGGACCUUGAAUAGGGUUAUCGUAGCGCGUUUAAACGACAGGACAAACGAAGACAAAAAAUAACCCACACGGCGCUUGUGCCUGGCAUAGUUAGUGUCCUUUCGUCCUCUAUUUUAACCGCACUACGGUAAACCCUUUCAAGAGUCGUUACCAACAAGCCCCAUUGUGGACCCUCGUUCACAGGGACGUCAUGCUCUCUAUUCUCUCAGAUGAUACACCAAGCUUAGCGCUGUGCGCUCUGCCCUUUAUCACGGUAUAUAUAACGAAGCAUUGUCUGCAUCCUACCAAGACGCUUUCCUGUCCGUCUGAAGGCCACGUCCUCUGCUCGCAGAACGAAGAUGAUCCCCCGGCUUUCAGCGACGAUGAAUUGCCUUGCAACAGCGUUUUCUGUGGUUCUCUUGUGCGCUUGUACAGGAGAUUGCACUGGCGGACUAAUAGUGGGCCAUGUUGAGACAAUUACUUUAAGAGCCAUCGUGCACGGAGGCAAAUGCUAUAUGAGCACUUACUACAUAAUUGAUGAUGGAUACACUCUCAACUUAACGAGUCCUUGCCUGGGAUUCACAUGUCAUGCUAAAAACGGAACUGUGACAAU
Long non-coding RNA from Dermacentor andersoni, 1023 nucleotides. RefSeq lists it as uncharacterized. Lineage: Eukaryota; Metazoa; Arthropoda; Arachnida; Ixodida; Ixodidae. The record is from RefSeq and is a predicted model, not a curated record.